CAACAUAGAAUAGCCAAAGCAGUUUACAAAAAAAAAAAAAAAAAAAAAGAACAAAGUUGGAAUGGGGAAACAAAAGAGCAAUAACUGCCACCUUACAACAUAUACAAAAUUAACUUGAAUCACAGACCUAAAUGUAAAAGGUGAAACUAUGAAUCUUUUAGAAGUUAACGCAAGAGAAAAUAUUUGUGACUUAGGAUAGGAAUGGAUUUUUGAGGGCACAAAAAGCAUGAACGUAAGGAAAAAAUACUGUUAAAUCAGACCAUCAAAAUUAAAAACUCAAAAAGCACUAUUUUUUAAAAGAAAAAAAGCAAGACACAGAUUGGAAGACAUAUUCACAGUAUACUUAACAGACAGAAAAAUUAUUUAAGAAUGUAUAAAAACUUCCUAAAUCUCCAUAAAAAGAAGAUAACCCAUGGGGAAAAUGGGUGAAGAAGAGUGGGAGGUACACUUCUGGUUAUGGAAUGAAUAAGUCAAAGGGAUUAAAAAGUACAGUAUAGGGAAUAUAGUCAAUGGUAGUGUUAUAUAGCAUUGUUUGGUGACAGAUGGUAGCUAUACCUGUCAUGAACACAGCAUAAUUGUCCUGAUCAUUAUGUUAUAUACUCGAAACUAAUGUAACAUUAUGUGUCAAUUAUAUUUCAAUAAUAAAUACAUAAAUAAAUAAAUAAGACAACCCAAUUUUUAAAAAUGAGCAAAAGAUUUGAAUGGAUUUUUUUUUUUAAUUUUUUUUCAACAUUUUAUUUAUUUUUGGGACAGAGAGAGACAGAGCAUGAACGGGGGAGGGGCAGAGAGAGAGGGAGACACAGAAUCUGAAACAGGCUCCAGGCUCUGAGCCAUCAGCCCAGAGCCCGACGCGGGGCUCGAACUCACGGACCGCGAGAUCGUGACCUGGCUGAAGUCGGACGCUUAACCGACUGCGCCACCCAGGCGCCCCUUGAAUGGAUUUUUCAUCAAAGAAGACUGGUGAUGGCAAAUAAGCAUAUGAAAAGGUGCUCAAUGUCAUUAGUCACCAAGAAAAUGCAAAUUAAAGCCACAGUGGGGCAUUACUCUAUACCCAUUAAAAUGGCCUACACUUUUUUAAAAGUUUAUUUAUAUAUUUUGAGAGAGAGCGUGCGCACGUGAGGGGCAUAGAGAGAGGGAGAGAGAGAGAAUCCCAAACAAGCUCCUCACUAUCAGUGCAGAGCCUGAUGUGGGGCUCAAACUCAUGAACUGUGAGAUCAUGACCUUAGCCGAAAUCAAGAAUCAGAUGCUUAACCGACUAAGCCACCCAAGCACCCCUAAAAUGACCUACAUUAAAAAGACUUACAGUCUUUUCUCAAGGAUGGUGCCAAAGGUGAUGAAGGAAGCCCUGCCUCUUCCAAAGCUGAACCCAAAGCAAAGGCUUUGAAGGCCAAGAUAGCAGUGCUGAAAGGCGUCCAUAGUCACACGCAAAAAAGAUCUGCACAUCAUCUACAUUCAGUGGCCCAAGACCUUGCAUCUCCAAAGACAGCUGAAAUAUCCUUGAAAGAGAGCCCCCAGGAGAAACAAGCUGACCACUAUGCCAUCAUCAAGUUCCCCCUGACUACCAAGUCAGCCAUGCAGAAAAUAGAAAGCAACAACAUACUUGUGUUCAUUGUGGAUGUCAAGGCCAACAAGCACCAGAUCAGACAGGCUGUGAAGAAGCUCUGUGACAUUGAUGUGGCCAAGGUCAACACUCUGAUAAUCAGGCCCGAUGGAGAAAAGAAGGCAUAUGUUCAACUGGCUCCUGACUGUAAAGGUUUGGAUGUUGCCAACAAAAUUGGGAUCAUCUAAAUUGAGUCCAGCUGGCUAAAUCUAAAUAUAACCUUUUUCACCAUAAAAAAAAAAGU
Molecule: long non-coding RNA, 1844 nt
Filed under: Lynx pardinus (Iberian lynx)
Lineage: Eukaryota; Metazoa; Chordata; Mammalia; Carnivora; Felidae
Source: RNAcentral